RNAcentral lists this ribosomal RNA (1990 nucleotides) under fermentation metagenome. RNAcentral's name for it is "bacterial LSU rRNA". It matches the Rfam family "Bacterial large subunit ribosomal RNA", at positions 3 to 1980 of the family's 2925-position model. The record is from RNAcentral.
UUAAGCUAUAAAGAGCGCACGGCGGAUGCCUUGGCGUCAGAUGCCGAUGAAGGACGUGGCAAGCUGCGAUAAGCUACGGUGAGCUGCAAGCAAGCGUUGAACCGUAGAUUUCCGAAUGGGGCAACCCACCAGAUUCGUCUGGUACUGUUACAUGAAUACAUAGUGUAGCAGAGGGAACCCGGGGAACUGAAACAUCUAAGUACCCGGAGGAGAAGAAAACAACAGUGAUUUCCCUAGUAGCGGCGAGCGAAGGGGAAAGAGCCUAAACCAUUUUGGUGUAAGCGUACGGGCGUUGCCAAGAUGGGGUUGCGGGAGUUACCAGCUGAGACCGUAUAUCAGCAAGGGACACGAAAGUUAACAGAACUGUCUGGAAAGGCAGGCCACAGAGAGUGAAAGCCUCGUAUGUGAAAACUGUAAGUACCCUGGUGACCACCCAAGUACUAUGGGACACGAGCAAUCCCAUAGGAAGCUGGGAAGACCACUUUCCAAGGCUAAAUACACACUGACGACCGAUAGCGCAUAGUACCGUGAGGGAAAGGUGAAAAGCACCCCGGGAGGGGAGUGAAAUAGAACCUGAAACCGUGUGCUUACAAACAGUUGGAGGGCGUUAAAGCCUGACAGCGUACUUUUUGUAGAACGGACCGGCGAGUUUUUAUAUGCAGCGAGGUUAAGGCGUUAAGCGCCGCAGCCGUAGCGAAAGCGAGUCUUAAUAGGGCAGAAGUUGCAUAUAGAAGACCCGAAACCGGGUGAGCUACCCAUGGCCAGGGUGAAACGCGAGUAAAACCGCGUGGAGGCCCGAACCUUUUAGCGUUGAAAAGCUAUAGGAUGAGCUGUGGGUUGGAGUGAAAAGCUAAUCGAACUCGGAUAUAGCUGGUUCUCCCCGAAAUAGCUUUAGGGCUAGCCUCAAAGUAAAUAAUACCGGAGGUAGAGCACUGAUCGGGCUAAGGGCCUGACGGUUACUGAACCCUUUCAAACUCCGAAUGCCGGUAUGAAUCUUUGGGAGUCAGUCUAUGUGGGAUAAGCCGUAUAGACAAAAGGGAAACAGCCCAGACCGUCGGUUAAGGUCCCUAAAUCCAAGCUAAGUGGUAAAGGAAGUGGAAUCGCAUAGACAACCAGGAUGUUGGCUUAGAAGCAGCCACACAUUUAAAGAGUGCGUAAUAGCUCACUGGUCGAGUGGUCCCGCGCCGAAAAUGUAACGGGGCUCAAGCUUGGUACCGAAACCACGGAAUCUCUAGGGAUUGGUAGGGGAGCGUUGUCUGCGCAUAGAAGCCGUACCGUAAGGAGCGGUGGAGUGCAGAGAAGUGAGAAUGCCGGUAUGAGUAGCGAAAAGAAGGGUGAGAAUCCCUUCCGCCGAAAGCCUAAGGUUUCCUGAGGAAGGAUCGUCCGCUCAGGGUAAGUCGGGGCCUAAGGUGAGGCCGAAAGGCGUAAUCGAUGGAUAACAGGUUGAUAUUCCUGUACCAUUUCAAUGCGUUUGAGUGAAGUAGUGACGCAGAAGGAUAGACUGAGCGUGGUUUGGUAGUCCGCGUUCAAGGAGUUAGGGAGUGAGAUAGGCAAAUCCGUCUCACAUAAUCCUGAGCUCUGAUGAGGAGGCGUAAGCCGAAGCAGUUGAUUCCCAGCUGCCAAGAAAAGCUGCUAGCGAGUAUUGAAAUGCCCGUACUAAAACCGCCACAGGUAGGCGAGGAGAGAAUCCUAAGGCGCGCGAGAGAACCCUUGUUAAGGAACUCGGCAAAAUGACUCCGUAACUUCGGGAGAAGGAGUGCCUCGUUAGGGUGCAAGCCCGAGGAGGUCGCAGAUAAGAGGCCCAGGCGACUGUUUAACAAAAACACAGGUCUCUGCUAAGUGGGAACACGAAGUAUAGGGGCUGACACCUGCCCAAUGCCGGAAGGUUAAGGGGAUGCGUUAGCGUAAGCGAAGCGUUGAACUGAAGCCCCGGUCAAUGGCGGCCGUAACUAUAACGGUCCUAAGGUAGCGAAAUUCCUUGUCGGGUAAG